Molecule: ribosomal RNA, 253 nt
Filed under: uncultured bacterium
Lineage: Bacteria
Description: partial 16S ribosomal RNA
Rfam family: Bacterial small subunit ribosomal RNA
Source: RNAcentral
GACGUAGGGCGCGAGCGUUGUCCGGAUUUAUUGGGCGUAAAGAGCUCGUAGGCGGCUCGUCGCGUCAGCUGUGAAAACCCGCGGCUUAACCGUGGGCGUGCAGCUGAUACGGGCGGGCUAGAGUUCGGUAGGGGAGACUGGAAUUCCUGGUGUAGCGGUGAAAUGCGCAGAUAUCAGGAGGAACACCGGUGGCGAAGGCGGGUCUCUGGGCCGAUACUGACGCUGAGGAGCGAAAGCGUGGGGAGCGAACAGG